GUGUUCGCUUCAGCAGCACAUAUACUAAAACUGGAACGGUACAGAGAAGAUCAACAUGGCCCCUGCGCAAGGAUGACAUACAAAUUCAUGAAGCGUUCCAUAUUUUU
Heterocephalus glaber (naked mole-rat) is the source of this 107-nucleotide small nuclear RNA. The record is from Ensembl. Lineage: Eukaryota; Metazoa; Chordata; Mammalia; Rodentia; Bathyergidae.